RNAcentral lists this transfer RNA (65 nucleotides) under Japanagallia turriformis. RNAcentral's name for it is "tRNA-Thr". The record is from RNAcentral. Lineage: Eukaryota; Metazoa; Arthropoda; Insecta; Hemiptera; Cicadellidae.
AUAUUAGUAAUUUAAUUAAAAUAUUAGUUUUGUAAACUAUUAAUGGACUUUAAAUCCCUAAUAUA